GAGCUGUGGCAGAAUUCAAACACAAGGCCAACAACUGCACCAGGGGGAUCUCAAAUGCAUGACUGGAACCAGCCAGGACUCAGUAUUUUCUGAAGGAAAGUUUCUUCGAGAAGUUUAGCUUCUGAAAGUGAAAGCUCAGAGAGGAAGGAGAAGGAAAAGAACUCUGCCAGACUUGGGGACUUUAUUACAUAGAUAAAUGGGCAGUAUAUCAAAGAAGACAUAUAGUAGCUUAUUUCAGCUGGACAAUUGAAAUAUUUAGAUUCAGGUAAGCCUAAAAGAAAUAUGUUUUCUUUUUUCCCUUCUGAUUGAAACAGAGAAGCAAAAAAGAAUCAAAAAAAUUCCUG
Molecule: long non-coding RNA, 344 nt
Filed under: Cyanistes caeruleus (blue tit)
Lineage: Eukaryota; Metazoa; Chordata; Aves; Passeriformes; Paridae
Description: lncRNA (ENSCCEG00000016666.1)
Source: RNAcentral